CCCUUAGAUGUCCUGGGCCGCACGCGCGCUACACUGACGGAGCCAGCGAGCGUGUCCUUCGCCGAAAGGUGCGGGUAAUCUUGGCAGCCUCCGUCGUGCUGGGGAUAGAUGGUUGCAAUUAUUGAUCUUGAACGAGGAAUUCCUAGUAAGCGCGAGUCACCAGCUCGCGUUGAUUACGUCCCUGCCCUUUGUACACACCGCCCGUCGCUCCUACCGAUUGAGUGGUCCGGUGAGGCUUUGGGAUCUGAGCGGAAAGAGCGUUUCGCUGUUUCUGCUCGGAAAACUCAGUCGAACCUUAUCAUUUAGAGGAAGGAGAAGUCGUAACA
This 326-nucleotide ribosomal RNA is filed under the name uncultured eukaryote. RNAcentral describes it as "partial 18S ribosomal RNA". It matches the Rfam family "Eukaryotic small subunit ribosomal RNA", at positions 1470 to 1796 of the family's 1831-position model. The record is from RNAcentral.